GAAAAGAAAAGAAAAGAAAAGAAAAGAAAAGAAAAGAAAAGAAAAAGAGCCAGAAAGUUCUGAUGUUUAAUGAACCUUUCAUUCAGUAUAUACAGCUUCUUAUGUAUGCUAAAUAUGUGGAAAAAUCCCAUGGAAUUCAGACCAAACAGUGUGUGGGCUAAAUGGCUGAGUAGGAAAGUAAGCAAAGAUUGUGGAAAAGGCUAAUUUGGUCAUCAAAUCCAGUUGCUCAUGGUUGUGGGCAAUCCUAUCACAUAAUUCAAGUAAUAAAGUAAUGUAUGACUCCUUACCAUUUUUAGGUGUGUGAAAACAAGAUUGUGGAGACUUCCAUUACAGAAGUGUGCCCUUGGCUACAGUAUUUUCCCAUGUUGGAAGCAGGUCUUAUCUCUUACUACCAAUCCUAUGUCUUGGACUUCACAUGUGAAUUAAAACCUGAAUAAUACUGACACAAGAACUUAACAUAUAGACCUUUGUCAUUGUGUCAGUGCGUAAUCAUCAGAAAGGUCAGUGAUGGCUUUGUAACGGCUUGACUGGGAAAAUAAUUGAACACAGGAUUUGACUUGAACAUCUGCAAAAAUUUGAACCAGAAGAACUUGAUCCAGAUUUGUGAAUAUUGCUCACAGGUGAUCACAUAUGGUGAAAAUCACC
Molecule: long non-coding RNA, 645 nt
Filed under: Gallus gallus (chicken)
Lineage: Eukaryota; Metazoa; Chordata; Aves; Galliformes; Phasianidae
Source: RNAcentral